UACGUAGGGGGCAAGCGUUGUCCGGAUUUAUUGGGCGUAAAGAGCGUGUAGGCGGCCGUACAGGUCAGCUGUGAAAACUCGAGGCUCAACCUCGAGACGUCGGUUGAAACCGUACGGCUAGAGUCCGGAAGAGGAGAGUGGAAUUCCCGGUGUAGCGGUGAAAUGCGCAGAUAUCGGGAAGAACACCCGUGGCGAAGGCGGCUCUCUGGGACGGUACUGACGCUGAGACGCGAAAGCGUGGGGAGCGAACCGG
This 253-nucleotide ribosomal RNA is filed under the name uncultured bacterium. Its description in RNAcentral is "partial 16S ribosomal RNA". It matches the Rfam family "Bacterial small subunit ribosomal RNA", at positions 524 to 776 of the family's 1533-position model. The record is from RNAcentral.